CCUACGGGGGGCUGCAGUGAGGAAUAUUGGUCAAUGGCCGGAAGGCUGAACCAGCCAAGCCGCGUGAAGGACGAAGGUGCCAAGCAUUGUAAACUUCUUUUGCCAAGGGACAAAAUAAGGCUCGAGACCCUGACCGAGGGUACUUGAAGAAAAAGCACCGGCUACCUCCGUGCAAGCAGCCGCGCUAAUGCGGAGGGUGCGAAGGUUAUCUGAAUUUAUUGGGUUUAAAGGGUGCGUAGGCGGGGUGUUAAGUCAGCGGUAAAAGCCCGGGGCUCAACCCCGGCGAGCCGUUGAAACUGGCAGUCUUGAGAGGUCGAGAGGAAAGCGGAAGGAGCGGUGUAGCGGUGAAAUGCUUAGAUAUCGCGCAGAACUCCGAUUGCGAAGGCAGCAUACCGGCGGCGAUCUGACGCUGAGGAACGAAAGCAUGGGUAUCGAACAGGAUUAGAUACCCUAGUAGUC
Molecule: ribosomal RNA, 459 nt
Filed under: uncultured bacterium
Lineage: Bacteria
Description: partial 16S ribosomal RNA
Rfam family: Bacterial small subunit ribosomal RNA
Source: RNAcentral